UCACCGCGGGACGGCCACGCCCUGUGUCUCCUGGGUCUGGCUCAGCUGGCUCAAUAUGACAACAGCCCAGACUCAGAGAAGUCCCAGGAGGUCUUAGCUGAGGCCUGUCUCAGCUUCCAGGCCAGCAUUGAGCUGGAGGACCAGACGCAGGGCGGACCGCCACCUGAGCAGCUGACACAACAAACAUGGUGGCAGGACCGGCAGAACUCUGAAAAAGAGAAAUCUGCCAAAGCAUCUACAGCCCGACCGAAAGGAGUGAAGGGGCCCUUGCACCCCGGGGGGGCCAAGAGAGGAGCCAGGCGGGGGAGGGGGGGGGCCCGGUCCUGUCCGAGUGACGGCAGCUGUAACCAAAGCUCCAGCCCCCAUCAGGGGGGGGAAGGCCGGGCGACCCGCAGCCAGGGGGCGAGCUGGAGCAGCAGCCAAACCCGGUGGAUCAGCUCAUGCCUCUAAAGCAAAGCUCAACAAGUCCAAACAGGCCUGUUGUCCCGGAACUGUGGAGACAGCAGAGGGUGAGACAGACUUUACAAUCCAAGUGAGAGUGGCUUUCAAGGUCAGAGGGACACAGGUGGAAAGAAACAUGGAGGAGAAAUGUGGUGAAUGUUCUUCAUGUGCUGAAGAGGGAUUUCAACCACCAGCCUGUUUUAAGGGGCCUCUGAAAAUAUAUGUAUGCAUCAUACAUCGUUUGAUCUGCUUGUCAGAGAAGGUCACUCCUCUUCACGUCUGUAGUUCCAGAGGCUCCAGUGGGAGACGGAGACGCUGCGUCCUGUCCAGUGAACUGCAGGUCCCACGUCCCCCGGCUGGGUCUGGCCCGGGCCCUGUCCCGCUCGGCAGACACCCAGGAGGAGGCCCAGCAGCUCUACCAGGAGGUCAUCUCCAUGGCUCCAGGGGUCAGUGGUUAUCUGGGACAUUUAGAGCUCAGACAUUUCCUCAAUAAGAACCUCAUUAACCUCCCUGUUGUGAGGACCACCUGACUG
This is a long non-coding RNA of Pleuronectes platessa (European plaice), 974 nucleotides long. RefSeq lists it as uncharacterized. The record is from RefSeq and is a predicted model, not a curated record. Lineage: Eukaryota; Metazoa; Chordata; Actinopteri; Pleuronectiformes; Pleuronectidae. The transcript has 3 exons.